RNAcentral lists this ribosomal RNA (404 nucleotides) under uncultured bacterium. RNAcentral describes it as "partial 16S ribosomal RNA". It matches the Rfam family "Bacterial small subunit ribosomal RNA", at positions 28 to 526 of the family's 1533-position model. The record is from RNAcentral.
GACGAACGCUGGUGGCGUGCUUAACACAUGCAAGUCGAGCGGAGCGGCGAACGGGUGAGUAACGCGUGAGUAACUGACCCCCUCUCUGGGAUAACAGUUGGAAACGGCUGCUAAUACCGGAUAGUGGGGGAUGACUCGCGCCUUAUCAGCUUGUUGGUGGGGUAGUGGCCUACCAAGGCGACGACGGGUAGCCGGCCUGAGAGGGCGACCGGCCACAAUGGGCUGAGAUACGGACCAAACUCCAACGGGAGGCAGCAGUGGGGGAUAUUGCACAGUGGUGGAGAGCGUGAUGCAGAAACCCGCGGGCGGGAUGACGGCUUUCGGGUUGUAAACCGCUUUCAGCCAUGACGCGGUAGUGGCAGAAGAAGCACCGGCUAACUACGUGCCAGCAGCCGCGGUAAUAC